CUCUGUACUCAACUGGACAGGGGAAAAAAAAACAAGGACCAGACAAAGCAAAAAAGGGCAUUUAAAGAGACAGCGCCGUGCAGAUGCAUAUUUGAUGGCCUGGCGCAGCAGGUAGGGGCGAACUCUAUGUCUGAGUUGGUCUUUGCUCAAGCAGUCCAGAAAUGGCUCAGAUAUGCUCCAGAUCGUACGGGUGGCGCGCAGGAAGCACAUCAUCCAUCCCCAUCCCGGAGUAAAUAAUAAAAAGUGACGUGAAACAUAGAAAUGUAAAUAGGAAACUUUGUCUUUUAAUAAAGUAUUUUGCAAAUGA
Long non-coding RNA from Pelmatolapia mariae (spotted tilapia), 307 nucleotides. RefSeq lists it as uncharacterized. Lineage: Eukaryota; Metazoa; Chordata; Actinopteri; Cichliformes; Cichlidae. The transcript has 2 exons. The record is from RefSeq and is a predicted model, not a curated record.